GGUACCUCACCAGAAGCCACGGCUAACUACGUGCCAGCAGCCGCGGUAAUACGUAGGUGGCAAGCGUUGUCCGGAAUUAUUGGGCGUAAAGCGCGCGCAGGCGGUCCCUUAAGUCUGAUGUGAAAGCCCACGGCUCAACCGUGGAGGGUCAUUGGAAACUGGGGCGUUAUGAUGGUAGGGGCGAGAGGGAAUUCCUGGUGUAGCGGUGAAAUGCGUAGAGAUCAGGAAGAACAUCGGUGGCGAAGGCGCUCUGCUGGACCAUAACUGACACUCA
This 274-nucleotide ribosomal RNA is filed under the name uncultured Bacillota bacterium. RNAcentral describes it as "uncultured Firmicutes bacterium partial 16S ribosomal RNA". It matches the Rfam family "Bacterial small subunit ribosomal RNA", at positions 474 to 749 of the family's 1533-position model. Lineage: Bacteria; Bacillati; Bacillota. The record is from RNAcentral.